GGGUUGUGAGGUUAAGCGACUAAGCGUACACGGUGGAUGCCCUGGCAGUCAGAGGCGAUGAAGGACGUGCUAAUCUGCGAAAAGCGUCGGUAAGGUGAUAUGAACCGUUAUAGCCGGCGAUGUCCGAAUGGGGAAACCCAGUGCAAUUCGUUGCACUAUCGUUAACUGAAUACAUAGGUUAACGAGGCGAACCGGGGGAACUGAAACAUCUAAGUACCCCGAGGAAAAGAAAUCAACCGAGAUUCCCCCAGUAGCGGCGAGCGAACGGGGAGCAGCCCAGAGUCUGAAUCAGCUUGUGUGUUAGUGGAACGGUCUGGAAAGUCCGACGGUACAGGGUGAUAGUCCCGUACACCAAAAUGCACAGGUUGUGAACUCGAAGAGUAGGGCGGGACACGUGGUAUCCUGUCUGAAUAUGGGGGGACCAUCCUCCAAGGCUAAAUACUCCUGACUGACCGAUAGUGAACCAGUACCGUGAGGGAAAGGCGAAAAGAACCCCGGCGAGGGGAGUGAAAAAGAACCUGAAACCGUGUACGUACAAGCAGUGGGAGCACCUUCGGGUGUGACUGCGUACCUUUUGUAUAAUGGGUCAGCGACUUAUAUUCUGUAGCAAGGUUAACCGUAUAGGGGAGCCGCAGGGAAACCGAGUCUUAACUGGGCGUUAAGUUGCAGGGUAUAGACCCGAAACCCGGUGAUCUAGCCAUGGGCAGGUUGAAGGUUGGGUAACACUAACUGGAGGACCGAACCGACUAAUGUUGAAAAAUUAGCGGAUGACUUGUGGCUGGGGGUGAAAGGCCAAUCAAACCGGGAGAUAGCUGGUUCUCCCCGAAAGCUAUUUAGGUAGCGCCUCGUGAACUCAUCUUCGGGGGUAGAGCACUGUUUCGGCUAGGGGGUCAUCCCGACUUACCAACCCGAUGCAAACUACGAAUACCGAAGAAUGUUAUCACGGGAGACACACGGCGGGUGCUAACGUCCGUCGUGAAGAGGGAAACAACCCAGACCGCCAGCUAAGGUCCCAAAGUCAUGGUUAAGUGGGAAACGAUGUGGGAAGGCACAGACAGCCAGGAUGUUGGCUUAGAAGCAGCCAUCAUUUAAAGAAAGCGUAAUAGCUCACUGGUCGAGUCGGCCUGCGCGGAAGAUGUAACGGGGCUAAACCAUGCACCGAAGCUGCGGCAGCGACACUAUGUGUUGUUGGGUAGGGGAGCGUUCUGUAAGCCUGCGAAGGUGACCUGUGAGGGUUGCUGGAGGUAUCAGAAGUGCGAAUGCUGACAUAAGUAACGAUAAAGCGGGUGAAAAGCCCGCUCGCCGGAAGACCAAGGGUUCCUGUCCAACGUUAAUCGGGGCAGGGUGAGUCGACCCCUAAGGCGAGGCCGAAAGGCGUAGUCGAUGGGAAACAGGUUAAUAUUCCUGUACUUGGUGUUACUGCGAAGGGGGGACGGAGAAGGCUAUGUUAGCCGGGCGACGGUUGUCCCGGUUUAAGCAUGUAGGCUGAUUGUCCAGGCAAAUCCGGAUAAUCAAGGCUGAGGUGUGAUGACGAGGCACUACGGUGCUGAAGUAACAAAUGCCCUGCUUCCAGGAAAAGCCUCUAAGCAUCAGGUAACAUCAAAUCGUACCCCAAACCGACACAGGUGGUCAGGUAGAGAAUACCAAGGCGCUUGAGAGAACUCGGGUGAAGGAACUAGGCAAAAUGGUGCCGUAACUUCGGGAGAAGGCACGCUGGUGUGUAGGUGAAGUCCCUGCGGAUGGAGCUGAGACCAGUCGAAGAUACCAGCUGGCUGCAACUGUUUAUUAAAAACACAGCACUGUGCAAACACGAAAGUGGACGUAUACGGUGUGACGCCUGCCCGGUGCCGGAAGGUUAAUUGAUGGGGUUAUCCGUAAGGAGAAGCUCUUGAUCGAAGCCCCGGUAAACGGCGGCCGUAACUAUAACGGUCCUAAGGUAGCGAAAUUCCUUGUCGGGUAAGUUCCGACCUGCACGAAUGGCGUAAUGAUGGCCAGGCUGUCUCCACCCGAGACUCAGUGAAAUUGAACUCGCUGUGAAGAUGCAGUGUACCCGCGGCAAGACGGAAAGACCCCGUGAACCUUUACUAUAGCUUGACACUGAACAUUGAGCCUUGAUGUGUAGGAUAGGUGGGAGGCUUUGAAGCGUGGACGCCAGUCUGCGUGGAGCCAACCUUGAAAUACCACCCUUUAAUGUUUGAUGUUCUAACGUUGGCCCCUGACCGGGGUUGCGGACAGUGUCUGGUGGGUAGUUUGACUGGGGCGGUCUCCUCCCAAAGCGUAACGGAGGAGCACGAAGGUUAGCUAAUCCUGGUCGGACAUCAGGAGGUUAGUGCAAUGGCAUAAGCUAGCUUGACUGCGAGCGUGACGGCGCGAGCAGGUGCGAAAGCAGGUCAUAGUGAUCCGGUGGUUCUGAAUGGAAGGGCCAUCGCUCAACGGAUAAAAGGUACUCCGGGGAUAACAGGCUGAUACCGCCCAAGAGUUCAUAUCGACGGCGGUGUUUGGCACCUCGAUGUCGGCUCAUCACAUCCUGGGGCUGAAGUAGGUCCCAAGGGUAUGGCUGUUCGCCAUUUAAAGUGGUACGCGAGCUGGGUUUAGAACGUCGUGAGACAGUUCGGUCCCUAUCUGCCGUGGGCGCUGGAGAAUUGAGGGGGGCUGCUCCUAGUACGAGAGGACCGGAGUGGACGCAUCACUGGUGUUCGGGUUGUCAUGCCAAUGGCACUGCCCGGUAGCUAAAUGCGGAAGAGAUAAGUGCUGAAAGCAUCUAAGCACGAAACUUGCCCCGAGAUGAGUUCUCCCUGAGACUUUAAGUCUCCUGAAGGAACGUUAAAGACGAUGACGUUGAUAGGCCGGGUGUGUAAGCGCAGCGAUGCGUUGAGCUAACCGGUACUAAUGAACCGUGAGGCUUAACCUUACAACGCCGAAG
This 2923-nucleotide ribosomal RNA is filed under the name Klebsiella pneumoniae. Its description in RNAcentral is "23S ribosomal RNA". It matches the Rfam family "Bacterial large subunit ribosomal RNA". Lineage: Bacteria; Pseudomonadati; Pseudomonadota; Gammaproteobacteria; Enterobacterales; Enterobacteriaceae. The record is from RNAcentral.